CCCUUAGAUGUUCUGGGAUGCACGCGCGUUACACUGAUUCGUUCAACGAGUUUAUGACCUUGCCUGAUGAGGUGGGGGAAUCUUUUCAAAUCGCAUCGUGAUGGGGAUAGAGUAUUGUAACUGCUAGUCUUCAACGAGGAAUUCCUAGUAAGUACGUGUCAUCAGCUCGUACUGAUUAUGUCCCUGCCCUUUGUACACACCGCCCGUCGCUCCUACCGAUUGAGUGCUCAGGUGAAUAGUAUGGACUGCAUCAGUGUUCGGUCUCCGAAUGUUGACGCGAGAAAUUCUGUGAAUCUUAUUGCUUAGAGGAAGGAGAAGUCGUAACA
This 326-nucleotide ribosomal RNA is filed under the name uncultured eukaryote. RNAcentral's name for it is "partial 18S ribosomal RNA". It matches the Rfam family "Eukaryotic small subunit ribosomal RNA", at positions 1470 to 1796 of the family's 1831-position model. The record is from RNAcentral.